GUCUUUAUGAUAAUAAUUUAAAGUCUAGUCUGCUCAAUGAAUAAUUUUAAAUAGCUGCAGUAUUUUAACUGUACAAAGGUAGCAUAAUCAAUAGUUUUUUAAUUAAAAGCUGGAAUGAAUGACUGGAUAAGAGAUAAAUUUUCUUAAUUUUAUUAAAAUAAAAAUUUUUUUUUAAUUAAAAAAUUAAAUUAAUUUUAAAAGACGAGAAGACCCUAUAGAUUUUUAUAAUUUUUAUAAAUUAUAUUAUUUAAAUAUUAUUUAUGAUAAUUAUUUGGUUGGGGUGAUUUUUAAAUUAAUUUAACUUUAAAUUUUAAAACCAAUAAUUAUUGAAUUUUUGAUCCAAAAUUUUGAUUAAAAGAUUAAAUUACCUUAGGGAUAACAGCGUAAUUUUUUUGGAAAGAUCUUAUUGAUAAAAAAGUUUGC
Molecule: ribosomal RNA, 423 nt
Filed under: Exetastes sp. BIOUG24447-C01
Lineage: Eukaryota; Metazoa; Arthropoda; Insecta; Hymenoptera; Ichneumonidae
Description: partial 16S ribosomal RNA
Source: RNAcentral